RNAcentral lists this ribosomal RNA (508 nucleotides) under uncultured bacterium. Its description in RNAcentral is "bacterial SSU rRNA". It matches the Rfam family "Bacterial small subunit ribosomal RNA", at positions 19 to 518 of the family's 1533-position model. The record is from RNAcentral.
CUGGCUCAGGAUGAACGCUAGCGACAGGCUUAACACAUGCAAGUCGAGGGCAGCAUAAAAGUAGCAAUACUUGGUGGCGACCGGCGCACGGGUGAGUAACGCGUAUGCAACCUACCUAUCAGAGGGGAAUAACCCGGCGAAAGUCGGACUAAUACCGCAUAAAACAGGGGCACCGCAUGGUGAUAUUUGUUAAAGAAAUUCGCUGAUAGAUGGGCAUGCGUUCCAUUAGGUAGUUGGUGAGGUAACGGCUCACCAAGCCGACGAUGGAUAGGGGAACUGAGAGGUUGGUCCCCCACACUGGUACUGAGACACGGACCAGACUCCUACGGGAGGCAGCAGUGAGGAAUAUUGGUCAAUGGGCGGGAGCCUGAACCAGCCAAGUCGCGUGAAGGGAAAAGAAGGAUCUAUGGUUCGUAAACUUCUUUUGCAGGGGAAUAAAGUGCAGGACGUGUCCUGUUUUGUAUGUACCCUGAGAAUAAGGAUCGGCUAACUCCGUGCCAGCAGCUGC